Molecule: long non-coding RNA, 10676 nt
Filed under: Homo sapiens (human)
Lineage: Eukaryota; Metazoa; Chordata; Mammalia; Primates; Hominidae
Description: HSALNT0382572
Source: RNAcentral
AGGUUGGUCUCAAACUCCUGACCUCAAGUGAUCCCAAAGUGUUGGGAUUACAGGCGUGAGCCACCAUGCCCGCCUGAAUUAAACUUCUAGUUUAUUAAACUUCGAUUUUAUUUAAGCCACCGUUAUUUUUGUUUCCUUUUACUCAUAUAGAAGUUUACUAUGGGAAUCUGUCUAGGUAAACCUACAGACAGGAACUUAAUAAAGGAAAAGAUGUGAGAUUUCCUUUUCAGGCUAUAAUGUCGCUUGGAGAGAUGUCUUUGUGCAAGCCCUCUGUAGCACACAUAGAGAACUUAGACGGGCUUUGGCGGUGGCCAGCUUCGGCUUCUAUGCCAUCUCCGCAAUUUCUCCUCUGAAUAUGACUGUAGUUGUGCCCAGGAACAAACAGAUACUCUCCCACACUGAGAAAAGGGCCAAAAUCUAUCUCACCCGGCCCAGGCUCCUCCCUUUGAACCAGCUUAGCGAAAAGUCUGGUCACCCCUGACCUUUCGGUUCAAAGUGAAGCUCUUUGUGCGAGUUCAGUGAGGUGGGACAGGCAAGGGGACUGAAAGGAGCACACUGGGCCCUCUGCCUGGUACCUCCCACACAGGUGUGCUUGGGAGGCCGGGGGAGGGAGGAAACGAUACUCCCAGAAUCAAUGCCGGCCGUGUCCUCUUAACAGCCGCCCUGCCUGACCCAAGCCUGCUCUGCCGAGAACAACAGGGCCCAUUCUAGUCACUUCAGCCAGAUUGCUGAAGUCACGCAUCACGGCAUCUGGGAAUGGCUCCUUUCCCAUGGCCCCCAGAAGAGGAGUGCUCCAUUUCAUGCUCCUUGCAAUAGAAAAGAAGGGAACAGCAGGAAUAGGAGCAUAUUAUGGUCCUCAUGGAAAAGCCAGAACCCUGGUCUCAGGUCUCCACCAGUUUAGAAAAACCAAAGGUAUGAAUAGUUUGCUGUCUGCUGCCAAAGGGCCCCAAAUCAUCAUGGCUUCAGAGGAGCCCUUCCUUGGUAAAGGAAGAUGACAGACAGCAAGGUUGGAGGUGGCAGGGUAUGGGAGGCAGGCUGGGCGGGGGCAUCCCUCCUGCCCUAACUUGUUGGGUGACCCUCAUUAAGACAUUUCCUUCUGUGGACCUCAGACUUCCCAGGUACCGAGUGGGGAGGUUAGUGACAUGGACAUUGAAGCUCUGACAUCUUCUAAUUAUAUCACAGAUGAUUUCAAAGACCAAAAAAGAGUCACUUUCUGGAUAAAUACAAAAAUAAUUCCACAUGGAGGAAUAAUGCUCAACCCCCUUUUCCUAACAUUUGUGAGACCUUCUGCUAUGUCUCAGAGCCAGCUGUCUAAGCCACUGGGGGCAGAGAGAUUGCCCUGCCCAAAGAGGCUAAUCCCACAUUGCUGAGCAAGGGGUCAUCCGUGCCUUCUUGUCCGUGAGUGGCUUCCAGUGCCUGAAGACACAUGUCCCAAGAAACAUUCCAUUGAAGUGAAUCCUAAAAGAUUCCCAAAUUUCCUUGGGAAUUCUUUCACCAAGGGAGGACAGCAUUCUCCAUUGGCCAUUAAAAGCUUCCUGGCAACAAGAACUGGGAUUCCGCUUCUUAGCUGGCAAGAUAGUCCUGAAACAGUUUCCAGCUGUUGAAGGCCUCAGAAGAGUGCAUGUUAGCUAACAAUGCUGGAAGUCUCUGCAGGAAGCUGUUAGCUGGAGACUGGUUGACCGCUGUCCUCACUGGGUUAGAGGCCUGCUCAGAGAUCGAGCCAUGAGGACCUGAGCUUGCCUGUCCUUUCAAGAGUGCAGCAAACUCCUUCAGCAGAGCCUGUGCAGAAGAAAAUGUAGGCACCCUUUUCCGAAAGCCAGCACUUUGGGAUAUUCCACAAGUCUUCACAAUAACAAGCUAAAAUUUUCCAGAAGCUCGGCUGCCCCCAAGUCCAACUGCUGCUCAGUCCCCAUGGUUGCUGGACCUCACAGGGUCAAGAGACACAAGAGCAAAAGCAGGGGCAGGAGGCGUUGCUUGCUGGCGUUGCUCUCUGCUUCUCCUCACUGCCAUUGCUCACCGGGCACCUGAGUCUCUGCUCUCCCUUCAGGUAGCCCCAGGCCCAGCCGCACCGGAGUCCAGGGCUUGUCACCUGCAGAGCAAGGGGAGACAGGGGAAGAGGAGCCAAGUGUUACAGGAGCCUCCUGAGAGGCUGCAGAGCAACGGCACUCCCACGGCAUCCUCAACCUCAUGGGGAUGAGGAUUCCUGCUGCCCAGAGAGGCUACAGAAGCUAGGAUCUGUUCUAGGGAUUAUUGGAAGAAGAGGUAGCAGGAGGUAAGAGAAAGGGUCAGUUUAAGCUGUAAGGCAGGAGGCGAGAUGAGAUCUGCAGGGUGACCUGGAAGUUCCUGGGAUAAGACAGCAGAGGGACAGCCAUCCCCGUCCCUACCCACCCUGCAUGAGGUGAUUCUUGCUUUAGGCAAACCUAGGCAAGGUUCAGCUCAGUGACUAGCAGGACGGUGGGGUAGCCAGGAGCAUGGGCUCCAGAGUCUUCAAUCCCAGCCAUGCAGCUCACAUGGAGGGUGCCACCUGGCCACUUGUACCCCAUUUAAAAGUCUGUAACGCUGGGAUGAUGCACUGUAAAUUCCAGGGUCACUGUGAGAAUCAAAAGAGACACUGUGACCCGUGGUCAGUGCUCAAGCCAUGAGGGCUCUUGAUAUCAAGGACAGUCCAUGGCAUGAAAGAAGAGAUGGGAGAUGGGACCUGAAAAUCUGGGUUUGAAUUCCAACUCUGGCUCUCAUCAGCUGUGUGACCUCUGGCAGCCCAUUCAAUCUCUCUGUGCCUUCUCAUUGUGAACAUGGGAAUAAUAAUACUACUGAUAACCAUGAGCUAUUGUUGUGAGGGUCAACUGAGAUAUACUAACUUGAAAAAUGUCAACUCAUAUAUAUCACUGGUCUCUGGAGUAGGAGCUUUGGGAGGUACAGAGAGGAAUCGGAUGUGAAUCCUGCCUCUCGAGUAUCUUACUGGCAAGAGGAAAGAGAGGCAAGUACACAAGGAACUAUACUCCCAAAUGGCAAGCUGCUAUCUUCUUAGGCAAAGGAAGAUAAAGAGAUGGUACCAUUGACAGGAUAGCACAAUCUAGACAGUCACUCUUUGCUUCACUUAGCAAAGUUCAAGGGAAAUAUUUUAUUUGAGCCUAAUGACUCUGGACACUUCCCUUAAAAUGACAUAUGAGAAUAUAAGUCAGUUUUUCUCCUGUUGAGAGGUGGCAGGCUUUGGAAUCAACCACACCCUUGUGAAUUCUCUUGGGCACAGUUUUGUUUAUGCUUAUAUGUCACUUAAUGGUUACAUAUCUGUUACAGGCUGAAUUGUGCACUCCCCAAAUUCAUAUGUGGAAAUCCUAUCCCCCAGCACCUCAGAAUGUGACUGUAUUUGGAGACAGGACCUUUAAAGAGGUAACUAAGGUAAAAUGAGGUCAUACGGGUGGGCCCUAAUCCAAUAUGACUGGUGUCCUCAUAAGAAGAGGAGACUAAGAUGCAGACACAAAGGAGAGACCAUGUGAAGAGACAGGGAGAAGACAGCCACCUUCAAGCCAAGGAGAGAGGCUUCAAGCCAAGGAGAGAGGCUUCAGAAGAAGCCAACCCUCCUGACACCUCGAUCUCAGACUUCUAGCCUCCAGAACUAUGAGUAAAUACAUUUCUGUUGUUGAAUUCACCCAGUCCGUGCUACUUUGUUAUGGCAGCCCUAGCAAACUAACACAGCAUCCUCGAGUAAAUCACCUAGCUUUUCUGAGGCUCACAGGUUUCUCACCUGUAAUGAUAAUAGUAAUAAUUGAAGCAAACACUACCAGGGUCCUGUUAGGUGCGAGGCACUGCUUUAUGCACUUUUCAUAUAUUGACGAAUUUACUAUCUCAAAGCAAUACUCUGAGCUAGGUAUCAUUAUUAUCUCUAGUUUAUGGAUGGGGAAACUGAGGCACAAAGUAUCUAACUUGCCCAAGGACACACAGGAAGUAGGUGACAAAGUUCAAACCUGCCUUUCUUUUCCAGAAGUUGUGCUUCUAAGGAUUAAAUUAUUUGCAGUAUAAUCUCAGGAUCUCAGAAUGUAGGCGCUGAUAGGAAUAUGAGAGAUUAUACAGCCAGCACUUCUCAAACUUCAGCGUGCACCUGUUUCCCCAGGAAACUUGCCAAGAAAUGCAGAUUCUGAUUCGGUAGGUCUGGGGUGGGGGCUGAGGUGCUGCCAAGGGUUACAGAACUAGUAGGUGGCUUAGUCAGGAUUUGAACCCAGGUGGUCUGGCUCCAGAACCCACAUUCUGUAAAAUGGGAACAAUAACACCACUCCCUGCCUAUCUCUCACCAAGGCUUACUGGGAAGAGUAAAUGCUUGAUUUGAGCCAUUUCUCUGCCCCUGGUAGACAAAAUAAUGAUCUUGAAAUCAAGCCUGGGUGAGCUUGGGGAAGGUGGGCAAGAAUCUCCCUCCAGCUUUCUUGUGGUGGUCAGAGAAGCUUCUAUGUUUCCCCCUUCCUUUGUGACCUAGGUUUCUUGUUCAUGGACUCUUAAAUCCAUGCCGUGGCUCCUGGAGGACUGGAUUGCCUGCACAGGGUCCACUAAGAUCCUUUUCUGGCUAAGGACCCAAAAGUCUAUCUUUGUGGACACCAGAAACCACAGAAACAGGAAAGCAGAGCUCAGAGGUCUUGUUCCCAUGGGACAGAAAUCUUCCCUGACAAAUUGUGAUGCAGAAACCCUUCUCUGACAUUGCCCAGUAAGAGCCCUGUCCUCCUCUCCUGGGUCAGGUAAGGGGCAGCCAAACACGCCGCCCCCCUGCCCCACCGCCUCCAUCUGCCACUUGUUCCUCCCCAGGCCCAGCUCUCUCCUGACAGAAAAAUGCAUCUCUCUGGUCACCUGGUCCUGACACAGUAUCCCUAGAGAGAAGAAGGAAAUGGGAGACAGAACAAUCCAAGCACCCCUCUGGAUCACAGAUAAACACAGGAAGAGUCCCAAGCCUGGGGAACUUCCAGCAGCCCUGAGCUCCCUCCUGCCAGCCCUUUCUCAGAGGGCUUGCCAUCAGCACAGUCUCCUUAGACAGGAUGUUUGGGGCUGCUGUGCGGGGACCCCAGGGACAGGGCACCCCAGCCUGCAUCCUUGGAGAGAAGCACUUAGAAAACCCUUUGCCUCUGCAGAUCAGGGCAUCCCAGGAUGCUGCAAGAAACAUGUUUCUCUGGCAUGAGUUACUUUUACCUUUUGAAAACACACCUGCCCAGACCUCUCCCAUUGCUGCAAAGACCAAAAACCCCAGAGGCCCUCCAAAGCCUGGUCUCUCUUCCAGAAACUGUGCUUCUAAUUCCUAAAAAUAAAACAACUUGCAGUUUAGCUUCAGGCUCACAGACAGUAGGAGCUGAAAUAAGACACCUAUUCCAGCGUGCACUUUCUUAUGCCUAUCAGUGUAGGGGAGGGGACUUGUUCAAAUGCAGAUUCUGAUAGGGCAGGUCUGGGGCAGGGUCUGAUUCUGUGUUUCUAACAAGCUCCCAGGGGAGGCUGUUGCUGCUUGUUGGUGGACUAUGCUUUAAGCAGCAAGGAUCUAGUUCACCCCCACCCUCCCCAUUUUACAGAUUUGCAAACCGAGGCCCACAGAGUAGAAGACAAUUGCUUAUGUUGAUUAGGAGCAACUAAAUGGAAACCUGAACCAGUAUCUGAUAGGGGAAUUGCUGUCUGAGCUCAAGUUAUGGGACACAUGUCAUCUUCUCUGUCACUCUGCUUGCUUGGGAGGAAAGGCGAGAGAGGGGAGGACUAGGCCCAUGUAUUCCUUCUUCUGUUUCUAUUGAGGCAACGCUUCAAAUCAUUAUUUGGAUAGUAAACACAUGCCUUGGGUACCUUUUAUGUAUCCAUAGAGUCUUUUUUUUUUUUUUAAGACAGAGUUUUGUUCUUGUUGCCCAGGCUGGAGUGCAGUGGUGUGAUCUCAGCUCACUGCAAUCUCUGCCUCCCGGGUUCAUGCCAUUCUCCUGCCUCAGCCUCCCAAGUAGCUGGGAUUACAGGCAUGUGCCACCACACCUGGCUUAUUUUAUUUAUUUAUUUAUUUAUUUAUUUAUUUAUUUAUUUAUUUUUAAGACAGAGUCUCACUCUGUCACCUAGGCUGGAGGGCAGUGGCGCCAUCUCAGCUCACUGCAACCUCUGCCUCCCGAGUUCAAGCAAUUCUCUGCCUCAGCCUCCCCAGUAGCUGGGAUUACAGGCGCCCACCACCACGCCUGGCUAAUUUUUUUGUAUUUUCAGUAGAGAUGGGGUUUCACCAUGUUGGUCAGGCUGGUCUUGAACUCCUGACUUCAAGUGAUCCACCUGCCUCGACCUCCCAAAGUGCUGGGAUUACAGGCUUGAGCCAACGUGCCCAGCCAAGAGUCUUAAAUUAUCUUUUUCCUAAAAAACAUUGAUACGGGAAAUUUCCAAUGGGGAACCACCUACAGAGCCAAAGAGGAGAGAUGCUACAGUUCCCUGUGAUAACAGAAAUUCACCCUCACGGACUCGCCCUAUCCCCAAGCAUGGCAGAGUGAAUCCCAUUUGAUCCUGCUGUGCCAUCAAGUCCAAAUCCCUCCUCACCCCACCAAUCAGCUGUAGGGGAGGGAUGGUUCCAAAGCCUUUGCCAAUUGCAGCUGGGAGAAAGGUAGCUCUGAAACUAUUUCACAUCCUCCUAUUCAUUCAGCUCACAUCGUUAGCCCGUGGGCGGCCACUGCGCUGGUGCUGGGGGAAAAGGAAAGUAAGAUCUCCACCCUUAAGGAUCCCCCAGUCCCAUACCCCUGUGCAACAGGCACUGAAAUCUAAAUAAUGCACAUGACCCUCCCAGCAAACCAGAUAUGUCCUAAUGAAAAGUCAGCCUGUAAUUACUCACUUGAGAUUUAACGUAAGAGUAAAUAAUUUAGCCACAAUGAUAAAUCUGGCAGGGUGUCCAAACUUUUGGUUUCCCUGGGCCAUACUGGAAGAAGAAGAAUUGUCUUGGGCCACACAUAAAAUACACUAACAGUAGCUGAUGAGCUAUAAAAAAAAAAAAAAAAAAGGGCUGUGCAUAAUUUUCAUGAUAUCCACCAUCACAGAUAAGCAAAAAAGUCCUCACGUUCAAAGGGCUGGACAUGGCUGCAUGCUGUCCAGUACAGUAGCCAUGAAUCACAUGUGGCUAUGUAAAUUUAAAUUCAAUUAUAAUUAGAUAAAAUUAAAAAUUUAGUUCCUUGGCCGGGCGCGGUGGCUCACGCCUAUAAUCCCAGCACUUUGGGAGGCCGAGGCUGGUGGGUCACGAGGUCAAGAGAUAGAGACCAUCCUGGCCAGCAUGGUGAAACUCCGUCUCUACUAAAAAUACAAACAUUAGCCGGGCGUGGUGGCGCGAGCCCGUAGACCCAGCUACCCAGGAGGCUGAGGCAGGAAAAUCGCUUGAACCCGGGAGGCAAAGGUUAUAGUGAGCCAAGAUUGCACCACUGCACUCCAGUCUGGGUGACAGAGCGAGACUCUGUCUCAAAAAAAUAAAAAUAAAAAAAUAAAAAAUUUAGUUCCUCAGUUGCACUAGGUACAUUUCAAGUCCUCCACAGCUUGUAUAUGGUUAGGGGCUACUACAUUGGACAUCACAGGUUGAGGACACAUUUAUCAUUGUAGAGACUUCUAUGGAACAGCUCUGAGCCUCAGGACUCAGAGUGGUGUAGAAGGUCCACACUAGAGCUACAAUUCAGUUCAGAGUGACAGUUCUCACGGUGGUAUUCCCUGAACAGCAGCAUCACACUACCUGUUAGAAACACAGGUUCUCAGUCCCACUCCAGACCUACUGACCAAGUGACUCAGAAAAAUCUGAGGGUGGGGCCCAGAAAGCUGUCGUAACAAAUCCUCCAGGUGAUUCUGAUAAGCGCUUACGUUUGAGAACUGUUAGUUACAGAGUAUUAACUAAAUCUCAAACAGACACUUGUCAGCCAUCAGUUAAGUGUCAACCUCCUAAAUAUUUGAAAAUGUAUCAGGCUUUAUCACAAGCUAGAUCCAAAUUUAAGUCUCAGACCUGCCACUUAAGGGCGGUAUGUGUAGUUGGCCAAUUACUCAACAAUCUAAGCCUCUGUCCGCUCAGUUGUAAAAUGGGGGAAUAAUAGCUGUCUUAGAGGUCUGUUAGAGGGAUGAGAUGAUGUAUGCGAUGUGUGUGGUACACGGGCCGGCCCGGAUGAAGACUCCAUAAAGGUCAGUGUGUCGCCAUUACCCAGGGUUGCCUCCCGGGCAGUGACGGAUGCAGCUGACCGUCAGCCUGGCUUACUACAUGGGCUUUUAGGGUAGCCUUUUUCACGAAUAAAUUGGUAGAACUGCAUCUUCAGAUGAGAGUUACAUCUAAACAAGAGGUGCUUUCUUGAAAGCUUGCCACAGAGGGCUUUAUGCAGGAAACUCACCCCUGUCAGGCAAUAUGUUUAUGACCUGGGGAAAAAACCCAAAUAUGACCUAAUGAGAGUCCCUCACUGGGCUCUAGGCAAAAGUUCUGCCUGGAUUAUGUGAAGUGUGGCAGAUGCACCAAGCCAGAGUCCUGGGGUCCUGGAACAGUAAGCCUUCUAGCAGAGAAUUCAGGGGCGGAUAAAGGGAGGUUCCUGCUACCUCAGAGGGCCAGGGUAUGAGAAGAGGUCAUUUCUGCGCGGCAGCCUGGCUCAUUGUUUUAUUCCAGGGGGCUUUGCUUGCCUCUCACAUUCAAGCAAAGCACAGAUCCCAAAAGAGGGAAGGGAAAGGGAGAAGAGAGGGGAGGGGAGAGGAAGGCAAAGGAGAGGACUGGAGAGGAGAGGGAUUAAAAGAUAAAAUAUGGCCUUGUUUACCCAUCCCAGUAUUAAACUCCCACCCUUCUGGGGGAUUCCAUGAAUGAAAACACAACACCUGCUGGGCUAGUGGCUGUGAAAGAGGAGAAGGGGUGAUGGAAAUGCAGCACAUAGGGAGCAGAUCUAUUCUUAGUCCCACGAACUUCCUCCGGGCCCCCAAAGGCCUUGCCCCAUUCUGAUGUCUGCUUCCUUGAUUUCAAUGUUUUUUCUCUUCCAGACCAUCCUCCCAGCUGCCAUGCUCAAGCUUUUGAAAUGCAUAAUUUGUUUUAAUUACAAAAUAAAAUAAUUUCUACCUCCCCUAGAGGGUUCUCCCUGGCCCUAAAUUUCCUAUCAAUUCCUUCUCCCUCUGCAUCCACAUCAUAGUCAUCAAACCCUUCUUUAAACUUAUCUCAUUCUGUCUUUAGAGUUCCUGAACAUUUUCCACACUGGGCUGCGGGCUCCUUGAGGGCAGGGACUCCGUGAACACAUUUUCCUUCCCAACAGACCUUAGUUCAGUAGCUUGGCACACCAAGGCUGCCCAGUCAACAUUGGACUGACUGAAUGUGUUUGCCAAAUGAAUCUGGCUAUUUGCCGGCUCUGCAACUUUCAACUCCUUGUCCAACACCCUCUAUCAAAACAGGUGGGUGUAUUUUGAAGUAGAAAUUGGAGACAUUAAAAUAAGCAGAUUUUUUAAAAAAUACAUCACUCUUUUUUUGUCAUUUAAGCAUUACCCUCAAUUGAGGAAAAAAAGAGUACUUUCCCUGUUAAAGCUUGUUUUGUCUCCCAGCAUCAUAAAGCUAGAGGGGAAGUCUUGUUACUGAUACAGGUGCUCCCAGGCUCACCAAAUCCAAGGCCAGCCUGCCCCUCCUACAGUUUGGAGUGACUGGAGGCUGCAGCGAGGAAGGGUCCUGGCCUCUCCCGCCAAUCCCAGGGCUCUCUGGAGAGGGUGCUGCCCACGAUAAAAGGUCACAUCCUGUCAUGAUCAAGACAUUAAUGGAUAUGACAAAGAUCCCAGAUGAAAAGCAACUUCUGAACCACACCACUGGCAUCCUGAUUAAAGCAAACAUAAGCAAGCCGAACCCAGCAAGACAUCUGGAACCAUCCCUAAGAGUGACCAUCCACUAGACAGGACCCAACCCUGCCAUGAGUGGAAUCAACUUCCUGUCUCAUGAGACUGCAGAUUUCAAAUCCUGUGCCUCUCCAUGGCUUCCUGAGCUCCUAACCACACUCUGACAGGCAUGGCAUCUAUGCAAAAAGGGAAAUGAGUGAGGCCAGUUGAAGAAUUAUAUAAUCCUCCAUUUUAAAAAUAGGACUGGGUAUUUUUGGAAAGAACUAGCUGGGUGAGUUAUUUAACAGCCUUUCUGGCUAGCCUGUGGAAACUCAGAAAAUGGCAUUCUCUCAGGGUCUCUAGAAAGAUGUGUUACCUGGUACAGCCAAAGAAGACUGAAGAUGCCCAGGCUGGGCUGAACCUGGGACAAUGCAGAGAUAACCUGGUCCUUUGUAAGCUGUGGACUGGCCCUGUAAUGCACGCUGGGAAGAGAGGAGUUUGGAAGCCACUCCCCAGGAUGGAUCUCUGUAGGCAAAUCCUUUCAACAGCUACUGUGAAGCCCUCUGAGCGAUGCGAUUGAUUAAGGUUGACAAAAGCCUGGCAAUGGCUUCCACUCCCCACUUCUUGUUCCCAUGUUAGACAUUAUUAAUCAAUUACAACUCUUUCUCUACAAGCCCCAGAACCAAUCCUUUACACAAAUCUCCCAGAAGCCACCAACAAUCAGUGGGAGUUGGCACGAGGUGAGACUUCUCCAGUCUGUCUGCAGUAGCUAGUAAGUGGUGCACUGGCUUCAGUUUGGACCACUGCUACAUCGUGGAGUUGACCUGUUGAAAUUGAUGAGCUAUUCUGACAUCAGUAAUGCUCCCUGCAGCUUAGAGUUCAGGACUUCCGUUGUGAUACAAAUACAGCUG